CACUCUCCUAACUGUCGCUCAGAACAUUGCCUCUCAGUCCCAGCACCUGCCCAGGCUUUGGAUGACCGACCACUGGCUCAGGAGCUGGGAGAGCUACUUGAGGGCCAAGUGAAAGCCUCAUUUUGUGAUUCAGGCACCAGCCAAAUACAGUUGCAUGAGGAAAAUUCAGUUGCCUGUGGCUUUGUUUUUUUUUUGUUUGUUUGUUUUUGAGUGCUUUGAAAAUCUUGCUGCCUCUGCCCCUUCUGAUUUGCAAGACACUGGAGAGGAAAUCAACUUGGUUAUCUGAGAGUGCCUCUCAGCUCUGCGUGAAGACUGCUUUCCUCGGAGGAGUCCAAACUUUAUCAAAAAGAGAAAUAUUUCCUUUUCUCUUCACAAUGAAAUUGGACUUGGAGGUCAGCGAACCAAUAGACUUUGGUUCUGGAGGUCAUCAACAUCUGAUUCGGGAAGCAGCAGAUAAAAGCAUCCAGUACCAAUCUGGUGAGCACUACACACCUUCAUCUUCAGCUGGGCCACAAGAAACUCGGGAGAAGCCAUGGCCAAAGGACACCGAGCAGUUGAAUACCUGUGUGAUAGAAAUUUCAGAUGACGUCACCCCAGGUGAUAACAAUGCAACUUUAGGCAAUCCUUUCUCAGACGCAUCUGUCCGCAGAGCUUUCAUUAUCAAAGUGUUCUUCCUCCUGUCAGUUCAGUUGUUGCUCACUGCGGUAAUUACCAGUGUGUUUAUUUUCUGGGAGGCUUUAAAAGUUUGGGUGCUCAAAAAUCCCUGGUUCAUCUCUGCAAUCUUCUCAGCAUUUUUUGCCAUACUUAUUAUACUUGAUUGCUGUGGGAAUCUCCGCCGUCAGGUGCCUGCAGAGUACAUUCUCCUGGGAUUCUUUACAGCUCUUCAAGGUCUGCUGCUAGGAGCCGUAUCAGUUUUCUACAAGGCCGAGGAAGUGUUAUGGGCAACAGCUGCAACCACUCUGGUGACGCUAGCACUCACUUUGUUUGCUCUACAAACAAAAUGGGAUUUUACCUGGCUAAAUGGAGCACUGUUCGUUUUCUGCUUCGUGCUUUUAAUCUAUGGAAUUACCUUAAUCUUCGUGCGAUCAUAUUGGCUGCAUCUAUUAUAUGCUGGACUCGGAACUGUGCUCUUCUCACUCUACUUGGUGAUCGAUGUGCAGCUCAUGCUGGGAGGGCACCGCCAUUAUUCCCUGGACCCUGAAGGGUAUGUUUUUGCUGUCCUGAACAUCCACUUGGACAUCAUCGACCUUUUCAUUUUUAUUCUGCGUCUGAUUGGACGGGGACGGUAGUCACGCAACCAAGGCUGGCUCGUGCGGAGAAGAGGAAGGAGGGGUGCUGUGGAGUGUUGCCGGGCUCAGGCAUGCAGAAGUCACCACUUCAGAAGCUCUUUUAUUUAAAAAAAUUUUAAGAAUACUUUUUUUUUGUCAAAUGAAACCAAGCAUUGAGUAGAUGAUAGCUGUAGCUGUUAUAUUUUCAGUUCCAUUGUCACGUAGCAAAACUUUCUGGGGACAUUUCUAAUUUUUAUAGAUUCAAAAGAUGAGUAUCAUAAUUACAUACUUACAAACAUUUGUAUAAUGCCCAUUCCUUUGUUGGAGUUUUCUGAACACUAUUUAAAGCUGUAAACAACAUAUCUCCACGUGAAUACAAUUGACUACAGAAACCUACAUUUACUUCUUUCUCUUCUCUUGAUUUGGACAUUCUGUGGGAAUA
This 1710-nucleotide small RNA is filed under the name Pan troglodytes (chimpanzee). Its description in RNAcentral is "processed transcript". Lineage: Eukaryota; Metazoa; Chordata; Mammalia; Primates; Hominidae. The record is from RNAcentral.